This 362-nucleotide unclassified non-coding RNA is filed under the name soil metagenome. RNAcentral describes it as "partial contains 5.8S ribosomal RNA, internal transcribed spacer 2, and large subunit ribosomal RNA". The stretch from base 1 to 120 matches the Rfam family "5.8S ribosomal RNA", at positions 35 to 154 of the family's 154-position model. The record is from RNAcentral.
GUUGAAGAACGUAGCGAAAUGCGAUAAGUAAUGUGAAUUGCAGAAUUCAGUGAAUCAUCGAAUCUUUGAACGCACCUUGCGCUCCUUGGUAUUCCGAGGAGCAUGCCUGUUUGAGUGUCAUUAAUAUAUCAACCUUCUCUUUUUUGAGUUGUUUGGAUGUGGGGGUUUGCUGGCCUCUUAAAUGAUUCAGCUCCCCUGAAAUGCAUUAGCAGAACAACCUGUUCAUUAGCGUGAUAAUUAUCUAUGCUAUUGAAUGUGAGGGCAGUUCAGCUUUCUAACCGUCCUUGGACAAUUCAUCAUUAAUGUGACCUCAAAUCAGGUAGGACUACCCGCUGAACUUAAGCAUAUCAAUAAGCGGAGGA